This 295-nucleotide long non-coding RNA is filed under the name Glycine max (soybean). RNAcentral describes it as "long non-coding RNA (GMAX_LNC002963)". Lineage: Eukaryota; Viridiplantae; Streptophyta; Magnoliopsida; Fabales; Fabaceae. The record is from RNAcentral.
CAGUACUGCAGAUCCCCGAUCCAGAGGGUUCGGACCUCGUCGGCGCUGGCGGGCUGCUGCUGAGGCGGAGGCUGGGCGGAGGGGGCCCACAUGGCCUGCGGGGCCUGGGCCUGCGGCGGCAUCAUGACGUAGGGUUGCUGCUGCUGCGGCGGAGGCUGCUGGUACUGUUGCGGCGGCUGCUGGCCCAUGGUGGGAGGUGCCAUGCCGGGUCCUGGCUGCUGCAUCAUCUCGCCCCGCAAAUCUGAGAAUUCUAGAGAGAGAAAGAGAGGGCAAAGAAAGAGAGAGAAAGAGAUUG